UUCAAUGAUGAGUACCACCCUGAACAUGCUCGAUCUCAUCUGAUCUCGGAAGCUAAGCAGGGUCGGGCCUGGUUAGUACUUGGAUGGGCUUUUCACGCAGUCAACGCCGUCAUUAAGC
RNAcentral lists this ribosomal RNA (118 nucleotides) under Prolemur simus (greater bamboo lemur). Lineage: Eukaryota; Metazoa; Chordata; Mammalia; Primates; Lemuridae. The record is from RNAcentral.